Molecule: non-coding RNA, 397 nt
Organism: Neolamprologus brichardi
Lineage: Eukaryota; Metazoa; Chordata; Actinopteri; Cichliformes; Cichlidae
Source: RefSeq, a predicted model, not a curated record
GAACAGCGUGGAGCUGCAGGGCUGCAGCAGCGACAACAGCCUCAACAGUAAUGCCAGCCUGCCUAGUGUCCAGAGCCACCGGCGCCACACUGAGAGGAGAGUGGCCAGCUGGGCCGUGUGCUUUGAGAGACUGCUGCAGGACCCCGUGGGGGUCCGCUACUUCUCGGAGUUCCUAAAGAAAGAGUUCAGUGAAGAGAAUAUCCUGUUCUGGCAAGCGUGCGAAUUCUUCAGCCAUGUCCCUGAGAACGACAACAAACAGCUCUCUCAACGAGCCAGGGAGAUCUACAACACCUUCCUGUCCAGUAAAGCUACAACACCAGUUAACAUUGACAGUCAAGCUCAGCUUGCUGAUGACAUCCUCAAUGCCCCAAAACCCGACAUGUUCAAGGAGCAGCAA